This 279-nucleotide ribosomal RNA is filed under the name uncultured bacterium. Its description in RNAcentral is "partial 16S ribosomal RNA". It matches the Rfam family "Bacterial small subunit ribosomal RNA", at positions 506 to 784 of the family's 1533-position model. The record is from RNAcentral.
UGCCAGCCGCCGCGGUAAUACGGAGGGUGCAAGCGUUGUUCGGAAUCACUGGGCGUAAAGCGCGUGUAGGCGGCUUGGCAAGUCGAGUGUGAAAUCCCGGGGCCCAACCCCGGAACUGCACUCGAAACUGCCUCGCUAGAGUCUCGGAGAGGAGGGCAGAAUUCCUGGUGUAGGGGUGAAAUCCGUAGAUAUCAGGAGGAAUACCAGUGGCGAAGGCGGCCUUCUGGACGAUGACUGACGCUGAGACGCGAAAGCGUGGGGAGCAAACAGGAUUAGAUA